RNA transcript from Prunus dulcis (almond), 5835 nucleotides. It is a transcript of the gene named serine/threonine-protein kinase prp4-like, with no coding region annotated. Lineage: Eukaryota; Viridiplantae; Streptophyta; Magnoliopsida; Rosales; Rosaceae. The transcript is spliced from 14 exons. The record is from RefSeq and is a predicted model, not a curated record.
UCGAAAAGUCAUAAAACCAAAAACCAUUCUCUCUCGCUCGCUCACUCACAUAAUUCAGACUCCCCUCGCAAAACCCAAAAUCAUAAAACGACAAAAAACCAACCCCUAACCCUAGAUUUCCCUGAUGGCCAGCGAAGCCCAAGACUCGCAUCGCAAGCACCGCCGGGCCUCUUCCGACGACGACGAGGCCGAGAAGUCGUCGAAGCGCCACAAGCACCGUCACCACCAUCGCCACCACCGUCACCGUCAUGGCAGCAAAAAGCGCGAAGGCGAUAUCAAGCCGGCCGUUGACGAUAUUGAAGCUCCUCUGGCGGCUGUUCUGUUAUCUUCUUCAGGUGCCAAUAGUUCUAGGCCAGAUGAAGACGUGGAGGAAGGCGAAAUUCUUGAGGAGGAGGGUGUCGGUAGUCACGACGACGGCGUCUUGAAGACGACAGCCGGCUCUGAUGCCGAGUCUGGUGAAAUUGAGGCUCUUGGAGUUCGCGAUCAGUCUGAUAAUCGAAAUCUGGGAAUUUUUGUCGAUAACAUUGAUAAUAAUUCAAAAACCAUGAGAGAGCACUGUAGUGACGAUGAUACUCGAAUUCAUGUUGGUGGUAAGUCUCGGGAUGAGACUGGGUUGCCUAGACAUUCCAGUGUUGAGCCUCAAGAUGAUUUAGCUUCCAGAUUAGGCAUAGAGGAUCAUGCCAAUGGCAAUUCCCACGGGUUUCACAAAGAGGAGAAGAGGCGGCACAGGGAAUCUGGGUUGCCUUCUAAAGAAAGUGAUAAGCGAAAGCAUUACUAUGAUGAUGAAAAAGUGGAUGAUGAUAGAAGCAAAGUAGCUAAUCGAAAAAAGCCAUCCUCUGGAAGUAGUGGAGACAAGCACAAGAUCUUGGUACGUUCACCAUCUCGUGAUAGGUGCGGGGAUGAUUUAUAUGGUAGGAGCAGAUCGAGAUCAUAUGAUCAUGUGAGGGAGAGAUCAUGCUCCCGCAGUAGAGUAGAAGAGGAGGCCCUUUCUAAAAGGAGACGUUAUCAUGAACGAGACACUGCAGUAUCUGCAGAGAAAAGUAAGGCUACGUUCGACUCUGGUGAUGAAGGAAUGGUUCGGAGGCAUGAUAGUGACGAUUUGGCUAGGGAUGAUGAACGAGAACAGAGUAUUAGUUAUAGCAGAUACUCUGUAUCCGAUCGUAGCAGAGAGAGAGAGAGGAGUAGGGAGAGGGAGGUGGAUAGGAUUCAGAGAAGGGAGAAAGAACAAGAAAGGAGCAGAAAUAGGGAUCGGAGAAGGGAUGGAGAAAGAGAAAGGAGUAGUGACAGGGAUUUGGUUAGGGACAGGAAAAGGGGAAUUGGACGAGACGAUAGCAGGGAAAGGAGAAGAGAAGAGCGACAUAGGAGCAGAGACACGGAGAACAGGGACAGAAAAAGGGAGGAAGAAAACGAUAGGAGCAGGGACCGGAUCAAGGCUGAUAGGGACAGAGAUAUGGAGAGGGAUCGAGAUAGGGACAGAGUUACAGACCGGAAAUGGGAGAGGCGAGAUGAUAGAGACAGGGAUAAGGGUCGAGAUAUGGAGAGGGAGAAAUAUGAAAAUCUUGAAGACAGCUAUGGAAAUCGAGAUAGGAAUAAACAUUCUGGUCGAUCAAGGCAUGAUGAAAAAGAAUACAACCAGGACAGAACAAGAAAAACUGAUCCCGCAAAGGUUCAGAGUUCAAACAGUUAUGCUGCAGAAGGGAUUGAAGACAGACCAAAAAGAGGUGAAGAUGAACAAGAAGACAAUGAAGAGAGGGCCACUUUUCAAUUUGCUGAGCAGGAAGAGGAAGAUCUGAACAGGAUCAAGGAGGAGAGUCGAAGAAGAAGGCAAGCAAUCUUAGAAAAAUACAGAAAUCAGCAGUCACAGCAAACAAAUGAGUUACAAAAAACUGAGUCACAGUUACAACAACGAAUUGAGCCUCAGCCUCUUUUGGAGGGUGUGGAGAAAGACAAAGAUCCUCAAGAUCAUGCGACCGAAUCAGCUGGUGUUGCCAAAUGUGGUGCAGAAACUGAUGAUGGCAGGAGUGAUGAAGAUGUGUCUCUUGCUGUAUUUUCAAUUUCACCUCAGCAGAAUGGUGAUGUUGCUUCUAGGAUGACGUCUGGUGCCACUGGGCUUGGAGAGGGUACUCCAAAGAGUGAAAGAUCUGAUGUCAUUUUCUGUGAUGAUAUCUUUGGUGAGACCCCAGUUGGAGUUAGAAAAUUGGGCAAAGGAGAUGGUGUUCGAAUUGAAAGGAGUGGUCUUCAUGACAACUGGGAUGAUGCAGAAGGGUACUACAGCUACCGGUUUGGGGAACUACUUGAUGCCCGAUAUGAAAUUACUGCUGCUCACGGAAAGGGUGUCUUUUCAACCGUAGUUCGUGCAAAGAACCUUAAAGUUGGUAACGGUGAACCCGAUGAAGUGGCAAUUAAGAUUAUACGUAGCAAUGACACUAUGUACAAGGCUGGUAUGACGGAGUUGGCCAUAUUGAAGAAAUUAGUAGGUCAAGAUCCAGAAAAUAAGCGCCACUGUGUUCGUUUUCUAUCAAAUUUCAAGUAUCGAAAUCAUCUUUGUUUAGUUUUUGAAUCUCUUCAUAUGAAUCUCCGUGAGGUCUUAAAGAAGUUUGGGCGCAAUAUUGGUCUUAAGCUAACUGCUGUGAGAGCAUAUGCCAAGCAACUUUUUAUUGCACUGAAGCAUCUUAAAAACUGUGGUGUUCUUCAUUGUGAUAUAAAGCCAGAUAACAUGCUGGUAAAUGAGGCUAAAAAUGUGCUGAAGCUUUGUGAUUUCGGUAAUGCCAUGUUUGCUGGAAAGAACGAAGUUACACCGUACUUAGUCAGCCGCUUUUACCGUGCCCCUGAAAUAAUUCUUGGCUUGUCUUAUGAUCAUCCAUUGGAUAUCUGGUCAGUUGGUUGCUGUUUGUACGAACUCUCUACCGGAAAAGUUCUUUUUCCCGGUGCUACAAACAAUGAUAUGCUACGUCUUCACAUGGAAUUGAAAGGCCCAUUCCCAAAGAAGAUGCUUCGGAAGGGAGCAUUUACCCAUCAACAUUUUGAUCAGGAUCUGAACUUCCAUGCCACAGAAGAUGAUCCUGUUACAAAGAAGACUAUCAAACGGGUGAUUCUCAAUAUAAAGCCAAAAGAUAUUGGAUCGAUUAUUACAGGUUCUUCUGGUGAGGAUCCAAAGAUGUUAGCUGAUUUUAAAGAUCUUUUAGAUAAAAUGUUUGUGUUGGAUCCAGACAAGAGGUUGACAGUAUCACAAGCUUUGAGCCAUCCAUUCAUCACUGGCAAGUGAACCCUGUUGCUGAUUUUCUGACUCCAGAAUUCCUGUUCCGCUAGAUAUUUGUACAUUUUGACCUAAUUCAUACAGUUUCUAAUCAUUGGGCAUUAUCUCUCUUCUCUGUGAUGGCCUGAGAGCUUUGACACAGUUUUGGCAUGGUUGAAGUCAAAAGGGGUGAUGUUUGGUCAGGAGUACUCAUUACUGGCGGGUUCUUUCAGUGGAGUGUACUGUUUCUAUUGAUAUGUGCCAUUGCUUUGAGGCAACACUCCAGUGCUUAGAUGCUUAAAAGGAACCCAGGAGAAGGUACCUUGGUUUGUUUAUUGGGAGAAUAUUGUGAGGGACUUGAAAGUAGAUGUCACUGUUUUGCAUGAUUUGUCUUUAUGUUGUUCCUACAUAAAAGCUUCUUUGUAAACUUGGAAAUUUAUUCAAACUGAAUCUAACAGUGUCACUGCCAUAGAUUUGAUAACUUUUUAUAAGUGUCUGUUUUUUUUUUUUGGGGUGUUUUCUAUUUGGUUUGCUUGUGAGAUUGUGAGAGUUGUUAAUUUGUUUAUUUACUAUAGUAUUAGUUAUCCAGUUUCAGACCCAAAAAAAGAGAAAGUAUUAGUUAUCCGGAAAGUGUAGGUGCAUGUACAUGCAUUCUGAAAUAUGCUGUGGUUUUUCUGGAACAUGGGUCAAUUGAUGACUUGUACCUCGCCAUGUUUGUUUUCUUAGGUGUCAACUUAAAUCCAUGUAAUUGUAUUCUGGCAUACAUGUUUUGUCGGUCUUUGUCUGUGCUUGAGGGUUUUCUAUGUUACUUCUUUUUGUUUGUCUUACAUUCAAAAUAUGCAUAUCCUAAUGAGAUUGCAUUGCAUAUGAUCCAUGGUCAUUCUGGAGGCUCUUGCACAGGAGGCAUGUGGCUGCUGCCGGAUCUAAAAGAUAUGAGGUAUGGCCCCCAUGCUCCUGCACUACCUGUAAGUAUAUUCAAAGCAUAAAUUUGUCUAUUUGGGUACUUUUUGUGUUUAUUGUGUCUAGUGUAAUUUUUCACUUCGUAUUCUUUGACUGGCUAUUUACUUCUUGAUUUUUGCUAAAUCCAUAGAUUGCAUUCUAAUUUGUGUAACAAAAUUCUUUAGACUUGUGUCUGGUGCCUGUAAUGCUGAGAUAUUCUGAUAUGAUCUAUCCAUUGAGAGGUUGUAUACCCUUAUGGCAGUGGGUGCAACCUUUUUUGGCUGUGUCUGUUUCAAUGAAUAGGAAUAUAAAAUACACAAUGAUUUAAAGUAAAUAGGGGCCUAACAUAAACAUAAUUUAAUUUGUGUAAAUAAACUAAAAUAUAGUUAAAGAAACUAAUUUCCUUUUAAACUAAUGUAGUUUGUGGAUGUGUGCGUUACCUUAUUUUAUUUCAUGAAAUUGUUGUCCAGCACUUUCGAACAGCUGUCUUCAGGUUCCUUCGGUAGGCUAUUUUUGUGUUGUAUCUGUUGGCUUAAAAAAUAUCUGGAUAUGUUCUUUUGGAAAGUGUUACUUGUGCAGGUGUGUUUUUAUUUUCUUGACUUCUCCAAUACGUUGGUUUUCUUACCACCCAAUCAUCUGUCUCAACCUUCUUAUCUUCAGUAUGUGGGAUUGUUUUUUUUGUUCAUCUAUAAAGAAUAGCUGCUCUAUUCAAAUUAAUUUCUCUUAGCUUAUUUGGUAUUCUUUUAUCACAAAGGAUAUCAUUGGCUUGUAUUUCGUUUGUCUAUUUGGUUAUGAUUCAUCCUUUUAUUUCUGCCAUUUUUCAUUACAAGAGACUAAGAUGAUGUGAACCUUGAAACCAUAAGAAACUUGCAUAUGACCUACAGCCGUUCAAAAGAACUCAAGAAAAUAACAUAAAAAGACAAAAUCCCAACUAAUAGGCUGCUAGAGUUCUUGUACAGUACCCCAAAAAUCCAUAAAAUUGUUAUCUGCUAUACAGUUGGGGGGCAUGCUACUUGGUGUGUCAUUUUGUCCCAUGGAAUAUGUACAUAUGAUAUCUGUUAGGCAGGUGUUUCUGCACCCAACAACAUUCAAGGAUCCAUAAAAGUUGAUUCAUUUAGCAAUUGGCACAUAUGUUCCAGAGUGGAAAAUGUUAGGGUAGGACGCCUGCAGGCUGUCCCCAAGGCAACUGAUUGAAAUUCAGUGGUGGGAUCCCCAGGGGGUGGGGGGAACAGUAUUUGGCUUGGAUUGCGUUUAUUUUGAUUAUAUGAGGGGAAGAAACUUGGUAACUCUUGAGAUCUGGAGAGCAGUGGCAUGCUCACCCAAUGGGUCUUUUGCCAAAUUCAUAGAAAUGAGGCGUGUUUUAAUCAAUUGCAGGCUCUGUUUCUUUUUGGUGAUGGGCUUAUUAGAUUUUAAAAAAAGCUACUGCUGUGUGCCCAUUUCUGACCCAAAUGUUGUGACUUGUUAUAUGCCUUGUCCAUUGUUUUCAAUUAUUACUUUCAGUAGAAGCUUUUGGAGUCAUUGAUAAACCCGAUUGUUAUAUCAGAAACGGGUGUUUAGCAUAUGGUGUAAUGAUUUGGAUUGGUGUGGAUGGUAAUUUUUUUCUUGAAAAUCAUAGACAUAUGCUGGUUUAAUAAAUAACAGAUGUAUUCUUGUUCUUGUUC